Molecule: ribosomal RNA, 369 nt
Filed under: Triticum aestivum (bread wheat)
Lineage: Eukaryota; Viridiplantae; Streptophyta; Magnoliopsida; Poales; Poaceae
Description: partial small subunit ribosomal RNA
Source: RNAcentral
AUGGAGUUUAACCGUGCCUCUGGUCCUGAUAACAUUCCUGCUGAGUUCUACCAGCAUUGCUGGGAAGUGGUGUGUGCAGACCUCUUUAGAUUGUUUGAGUGGUUCUAUGAGGGUAGACUUGAUGUUCAAUGCUUAAAUUAUGGCAUCAUCACCCUCCUUCCCAAAAUCUCUACAGCCAACAAAAUCCAGCAGUAUAGACCAAUAUGCUUUUUACGUUGCCCUUAUAAGCUGAUCACAAAAGUCAUGGAUAGGAGAGCUAGUGUUUAUGCCCCCAAACUUUUCAGCAUUCAACAGAAUGCUUUCAUAAAGGGGAGGAACAUUAUGGAUGGUGUGUUAUCAUUGUAUGAGAUUAUGCAUAUACUCAUGUGA